AAAACUUACUGUGCUCAAGGCACAGAACGGGGUAGUUUUAUACACAUUCUCCCAUUUGGAUUUUUCAAAGACAACAUCUAAUCAUCCCCAGAGAAAUUUCAGCUGAGAAGACAGGAUGAUGAAGUGCCCUGGGGGCCAGAGUCCAGACAAGUAUUUUGGCACCUCCAAGGACUCGCAGAACACAGAGAGGAAAAGAGAGACCCUGUUAUCUUUCCGCAGGGGUGGCCGUUCAAACUCUCAGAGAUGGAAGUUAAGAUUUCCUUUGGUAUAAGUGGCAGUUUGACUGGCUGCAAGGAGAGCCUCAGUUUGUUUAAUUUGGAGUAAAAUUUUAUGAGUUAAUCUCUAGUGAGGGAAAGCAGCAGUAAACACAGAACAUACUGGUCAUUAUUCUAAGUAUUUCUACAUUCUUUCUCAUGCAUGAAAGGAGAAAAAAAGUCACAAAAAUGAGGAGGCAUGGUG
This 459-nucleotide long non-coding RNA is filed under the name Homo sapiens (human). RNAcentral's name for it is "HSALNT0339744". Lineage: Eukaryota; Metazoa; Chordata; Mammalia; Primates; Hominidae. The record is from RNAcentral.